This is an RNA transcript of Sander lucioperca (pikeperch), 2796 nucleotides long. It is a transcript of the gene named interleukin 12 receptor, beta 2a, like, with no coding region annotated. The transcript has 16 exons. Lineage: Eukaryota; Metazoa; Chordata; Actinopteri; Perciformes; Percidae. The record is from RefSeq and is a predicted model, not a curated record.
GAAAUGGGCGGGGCUAUCUGGUAAAAACUGAACUAUCAAUUUGAAUUUAACAACAAACUUUCUUUGUAAACUGUGUUAAUAUCGCUGCAGAAUGCGCGACAGACUCCGGUGUGUCUCAUAAUGAGGCACUAGAGGCCACAGUCCAAAUGUAAUGGCCACAUUUCGGACAUGGUGGCGUCUGUCCAUCUUGCUGGUCACCCUGCCAAAUUGUUUUGCUCCAGGUCCUCCUGCUGCUCCCUCUCCUCCUGACUGCUCUAUCCCAUGUGGUGAGACAAACAACUGUGAAGAUAUCCACUGUAGUUGGGAUGCAAGGCUGGAUCCUCAGAUCACCACCAACUACAGCCUGCACUGGGGGACAGCAAAUAGAGAAGAGGGGCAUGUGAUCAAUGGGCCCAGUUUGUUUGGGAUUAUCCAGCGUGAACACUUCCCCAGCCAUGAAGAACUUCGUGUGUGGGUCCAGGCUAAGAACCAGCAUGGUUCUGCCAAAUCUCUGGAGGCUGUGUUUAAUACAGCAGAUAUCAGAAAGCCGCCCCCUCCUAAAGUCACAUUGAGCCAUAAGGAGUCAUUAGAGAUUGACUGGAUUUCCACUUGUGAUGAGCUGCAGCUCUCUUUGGGAAGCUGUUAUGUCCGACAUCGGACAGAGGCAGACCAAGACUGGCUUGAGGAAGAGGUGGGAAGCCAUGGCUAUACAUUUGACAGUCCCCAGCCCAACACAGUCUAUGAAUUUCAAGUUCGCUGUUCCUGUGUCCCAGGCUUGUUGAGUGACUGGAGUGCAACCCACAGAAUACGAAGCACAGAGACGGCCCCUGUAGGAGAGCUGGAUGUAUGGAGGGACUGUGGGAUAUCCCAGGCAAGCUCUGACUGUGUUCUGUCCUGGAAGACGCUUCCUAUAUCUCAGGCUUGCGGCCUCAUUCUGGGAUAUGAAGUCAGACUGUCAUACAAUAACGGCACUGCCGUGUUGGUGAAUAUGUCCACAGCUGAGCCAAGGGGGCGAUUGUUGUGUGAUGAAAUGCAAUGCCACUUCACUUUCUCUCUAAAGGAUGUAUCAUCAGUCAGUGUGUCUGCCUACAACGCGCAUGGUGCCACAGUGCCUUCUUAUCUGCCUAUGCCAAUACCAGGUAAAGAGAAAGACGAGCAAGCUCUUCACCUUGUGAUGAAUGAAGAGAACCUCAAUGUGUCCUGGGAUCUGCCCUCUCAGCUUUUAGACAACCUGAAGGAAUAUGUGUUGCAAUACAAACAAGCAGGAAGUCCUCCAUGCCAAGGAUUUGAUUGGGUCAAAGUAAACAAAAGCCAAACAACAGGAAUUUUGAAAGGUCAAUAUACAAAGUACACACCCUACCAAGUGUCGCUGUUCACAGUAUCUCACAGCAAUAAAGUUCAUCACCUAUCAUCAGUUAUUGGAUAUUCACUUCAAGGAACCCCUUCUAGUGUGCCAUCAUUUAAGGUGUUUUCCAUUGCUGCCACUCAUGUGUGCCUGUUUUGGGAGUCUAUUCCCCUCUCCAAGCAGAAUGGGUUGAUUCUAUACUACCAAGUAGUAGUAGACAGUGGAGUAAACAGACAAAAAGUGUACAAUGUGAAUGCAUCCUCACAGCAUGAAAAUAAGACUUUUAAGCUGCUGCAUCUCAGUCCAGGACAGGAGUAUGAGGUGCGGCUAAGAGCUGUGACUGCAGCCGGGCCUGGAGCAAAUGCCACUGCAAAGUUCAAAACAAAGCACCACGAAGAUUUUGCACUCUUAAUAGCAGUCGUGCCUGCAAUCCUUUUUGUGGUUGUAAUAUGUGUUCUUGCUUUUUGCAGUGCUUGUCGAGGAGAAAACAAAGCAUGUCCACUGGUGCCUCCUUUUUUCUAUGACAAAGUGCCAGAUGCGCGCAACAGCCAAAUUUUCAGACACAUGACGCACCAGACUAUUGACUCAUUGGCAUGGAUCUGCAUUCCGGUCUAUGAGCCACAUCCCAAGAUCUCUCUGUUGGAGGUUGUGGAAAUCCAGCCCUGGGCCUUUAAGUCCUCCCUGGAGGAAACCACAGACACUGACAGAUUAACUAGGCCAGUGGUUGGAGAUGGGUGCUUACAGAUGGACUGCCAGGAUGAUCAGAGGGAGGAAGCUGUCACAGAGGAGUGUCAUAGGACAGACCACAGAUAUCGAAGAGAGGAGUACAGCAAAAUGGUUGACUCAGAUGAGGAGAGGGAUAGGGAAGAUUGUUGGAGCUCAACAGAGGAAGAACAGUUAACGUCGGGUUACGAAAAGCACUUCAUGCCCACUGCUUUUGAAAUACUGGAAGUUUGAUGUUUUCACUACGUUGGCUUGUGGACAUUCAUCUCAGAUAUGUGUUGUAUUUUUUUUUGUUUUUAUUGUGCAGAAAAUGUUCAAUAUUGGAAUGUGAUUUUAGAUGAUGACCGUCUGGACAGGCUUCUGUAGCCUCUCUCUGCAGGACCCAGGAGGGUGGAAUCCAGUCAUGGGAGAGCUUAUCUACUAAAUCAAUAUAAAGUAUGUCAGGAAUUAUUUGUCACUGACAUUGACAGCAGCUGCUCGUAUACAUAAUCAUAUGUGUAAGUAUUUCAGAUGUUUGUAUGUUGGAAUGUUAGAAGUAUAAUACAGACAUUUAGAGGCAAAAACUAACUUCCAGAUGCACUUGUGAAUGUGUACAUUUGUAAGGCAGAAAGCCCAUAUAACCUAUUAAAGCUACAAGAAUUGUUGCUAUUUUGAGCCCACUGAACGUAAAUGUUGACAUAUCAGGUGCUAUUUCAUGUUAUUAUUUCCCUAUAUAGGCAAAUUAUCCACAUCCAUAAUUUUUAGUUUAC